GGGGACGUAGCUCAGCUGGGAGAGCACCGGCUUUGCAAGCCGGGGGUCGAGGGUUCGAGCCCCUUCGUCUCCACCA
This 76-nucleotide transfer RNA is filed under the name Actinomycetota bacterium. Its description in RNAcentral is "tRNA-Ala". It matches the Rfam family "tRNA". Rfam says of the family: Transfer RNA (tRNA) molecules are approximately 80 nucleotides in length. Lineage: Bacteria; Bacillati; Actinomycetota. The record is from RNAcentral.